CAAUAAGCGGAGGAAAAGAAACCAACAGGGAUUGCCCCAGUAACGGCGAGUGAAGCGGCAACAGCUCAGAUUUGGAAUCUGGCCCCCCCCGGGGGGUCCGAGUUGUAAUCUGGAGAGGAUGCUUCUGGCGCGGCGCCCGGCGAGUUCCCUGGAACGGGACGCCAGAGAGGGUGAGAGCCCCGUACGGCGGGACGCCGCGCCUCUGCGAAGCUCCUUCGAACGAGUCGAGUAGUUUGGGAAUGCUGCUCCAAACGGGAGGUAAAUUUCUCCUAAAGCUAAAUACCGGCCGGAGACCGAUAGCGCACAAGUAGAGUGAUCGAAAGAUGAAAAGCACUUUGAAAAGAGGGUCAAACAGUACGUGAAAUUGUUGAAAGGGAAGCGCCCGUGGCCAGACUCGCGCCCCGCGGACCACCCGGCGGACUUCCGCCGGGGCACGCCGCGGGGCGCGGGCCAGCAUCGGCCCCCGCAGGGGGACAAGGGCGGCGGGAACGUGGCUCCUCUGGGAGUGUUACAGCCCGCCGCGCCAUGCCCCUGGGGGGGCCGAGG
Molecule: ribosomal RNA, 546 nt
Filed under: Dryadomyces sulphureus
Lineage: Eukaryota; Fungi; Ascomycota; Sordariomycetes; Ophiostomatales; Ophiostomataceae
Description: Raffaelea sulphurea partial large subunit ribosomal RNA
Rfam family: Eukaryotic large subunit ribosomal RNA
Source: RNAcentral